UACGUAGGGGGCAAGCGUUGUCCGGAAUCAUUGGGCGUAAAGAGCGUGUAGGCGGCCCGAUAAGUCCGCUGUGAAAGUCCAGGGCUCAACCCUGGGAUGCCGGUGGAUACUGUCGGGCUCGAGUCCGGAAGAGGAGUGUGGAAUUCCUGGUGUAGCGGUGAAAUGCGCAGAUAUCAGGAGGAACACCGGUGGCGAAGGCGGGUCUCUGGGCCGAUACUGACGCUGAGGAGCGAAAGCGUGGGGAGCGAACAGG
This 253-nucleotide ribosomal RNA is filed under the name uncultured bacterium. RNAcentral's name for it is "partial 16S ribosomal RNA". It matches the Rfam family "Bacterial small subunit ribosomal RNA", at positions 524 to 776 of the family's 1533-position model. The record is from RNAcentral.